This 497-nucleotide ribosomal RNA is filed under the name uncultured bacterium. RNAcentral's name for it is "partial 16S ribosomal RNA". It matches the Rfam family "Bacterial small subunit ribosomal RNA", at positions 28 to 507 of the family's 1533-position model. The record is from RNAcentral.
GACGAACGCUGGCGGCGUGCCUAAUACAUGCAAGUAGAACGCUGAAGAGAGGAGCUUGCUCUUCUUGGAUGAGUUGCGAACGGGUGAGUAACGCGUAGGUAACCUGCCUUGUAGCGGGGGAUAACUAUUGGAAACGAUAGCUAAUACCGCAUAACUAUGGAUGACACAUGUCAUUUAUUUGAAAGGGGCAAUUGCUCCACUACAAGAUGGACCUGCGUUGUAUUAGCUAGUAGGUGAGGUAACGGCUCACCUAGGCGACGAUACAUAGCCGACCUGAGAGGGUGAUCGGCCACACUGGGACUGAGACACGGCCCAGACUCCUACGGGAGGCAGCAGUAGGGAAUCUUCGGCAAUGGGGGCAACCCUGACCGAGCAACGCCGCGUGAGGGAAGAAGGUUUUCGGAUCGUAAAGCUCUGUUGUAAGUCAAGAACGAGUGUGAGAGUGGAAAGUUCACACUGUGACGGUAGCUUACCAGAAAGGGACGGCUAACUACGUG